Molecule: ribosomal RNA, 1985 nt
Filed under: Bifidobacterium adolescentis
Lineage: Bacteria; Bacillati; Actinomycetota; Actinomycetes; Bifidobacteriales; Bifidobacteriaceae
Description: partial 23S ribosomal RNA
Rfam family: Bacterial large subunit ribosomal RNA
Source: RNAcentral
CCAGUACCGUGAGGGAAAGGUGAAAAGAACCCCGGAAGGGGAGUGAAAGAGAACCUGAAACCGUGUGCCUACAAAUAGUCAGAGCCCGUUAAUGGGUGAUGGCGUGCCUUUUGUAGAAUGAACCGGCGAGUUACGAUAUCGUGCGAGGUUAAGCAGAAGAUGCGGAGCCGUAGCGAAAGCGAGUCUGAAUAGGGCGAAGAGUACGAUGUUGUAGACCCGAAACCGUGUGAGCUAGCCAUGAGCAGGCUGAAGGUCAGGUAACACUGACUGGAGGGCCGAACCAGGGCACGUUGAAAAGUGCUUGGAUGACUUGUGGCUAGGGGUGAAAUUCCAAUCGAACACGGAUAUAGCUGGUUCUCUCCGAAAUAGCUUUAGGGCUAGCCUCGAUGGCAAGUCUACUGGAGGUAGAGCACUGAAUGGGUGAUGGCCCCACCUCGGGGUACUGAUCUCAAUCAAACUCCGAAUGCCAGAUAGAUAUCAUCGGGAGUCAGACUGUGGGUGAUAAGGUCCAUGGUCAAAAGGGAAAGAGCCCAGACCGCCAGCUAAGGCCCCCAAGUGUCCGUUAAGUGGAAAAGGAUGUGGAGAUGCACAGACAACUAGGAGGUUGGCUUAGAAGCAGCCAUCCUUUAAAGAGUGCGUAAUAGCUCACUAGUCGAGUGACUCUGCGCCGAAAAUGUACCGGGGCUAAACGGACCGCCGAAGCUGCGGAUUGACACUUAGGUGUCAGUGGUAGGAGAGCGUUCUAACAGCGGAGAAGCAGUACCGGAAGGAGCUGUGGAGCGGUUAGAAGUGAGAAUGCCGGUGUGAGUAGCGAAAGAUAGGUGAGAAUCCUAUCCAUCGAAAGCCUAAGGUUUCCAGGGGAAGGCUCGUCCGCCCUGGGUAAGUCGGGACCUAAGGUGAGGCCGAAAGGCGUAGCCGAUGGACAACAGGUUGAUAUUCCUGUACCACUUAUUAAACUGAUGGAGUGACGGAGAAGGCUAAGUUGAGCGUGUUAAUGGAUUCACGUGUAAGCAGUGAGGUGGUCAUGUAGGCAAAUCCGCAUGGCAUAACAUUGAGCUGUGAUGCCGAAGCCGUAUGGCGAAGUCAACUGAUGUCACGCUUCCAAGAAAAGCUUCUAGGGUUAAUUUAGUAAGUGCCCGUACCGAUAACCGACACAGGUAGGCGAGGAGAGAAUCCUAAGAUGAGCGAGAGAACUCUUGUUAAGGAACUCGGCAAAAUGACCCCGUAACUUCGGGAGAAGGGGUGCUUGUGAAAGCAAGCCGCAGUGAAUAGGCCCAGGCGACUGUUUAUCAAAAACACAGGUCUCUGCUAAACCGCAAGGUGAUGUAUAGGGGCUGACGCCUGCCCGGUGCUGGAAGGUUAAGAGGAGAGGUUAGCGCAAGCGAAGCUUUGAAUUGAAGCCCCAGUAAACGGCGGCCGUAACUAUAACGGUCCUAAGGUAGCGAAAUUCCUUGUCGGGUAAGUUCCGACCCGCACGAAAGGCGUAACGAUCUGGGCGCUGUCUCAACAAGAGACUCGGUGAAAUCAUAGUACCUGUGAAGAUGCAGGUUACCCGCGACAGGACGGAAAGACCCCGUGGAGCUUUACUGUAGCUUGAUAUUGAGCACUGGUGACACAUGUACAGGAUAGGUAGGAGACGAAGAAGCCAGGACGCCAGUCUUGGUGGAGUCGCUGUUGGGAUACUACCCUUGUGUUACUGGGGUUCUAACCCGUGGCCAUGAUCUGGUCAGGGAACAGUGUCAGGUGGGCAGUUUGACUGGGGCGGUCGCCUCCCAAAGAGUAACGGAGGCGCCCAAAGGUUCCCUCAGAAUGGUUGGAAAUCAUUCGAAGAGUGUAAAGGCAGAAGGGAGCUUGACUGCGAGACCUACAAGUCGAGCAGGGACGAAAGUCGGGCUUAGUGAUCCGGCGGUACCGAAUGGAAGGGCCGUCGCUCAACGGAUAAAAGCUACCCCGGGGAUAACAGGCUGAUCUCCCCCAAGAGUUCA